Molecule: ribosomal RNA, 480 nt
Filed under: uncultured bacterium
Lineage: Bacteria
Description: partial 16S ribosomal RNA
Rfam family: Bacterial small subunit ribosomal RNA
Source: RNAcentral
GAUGAACGCUAGCGGCAGGCCUAACACAUGCAAGUCGAGGGGUAGAAGGAGCUUGCUCCUUUGAGACCGGCGCACGGGUGCGUAACGCGUAUGCAAUCUACCUUGUACAGGGGAAUAGCCCAGAGAAAUUUGGAUUAAUGCCCCAUAGUAUAUAACCUUCGCAUGUUGGUUAUAUUAAAGUUCCAACGGUACAAGAUGAGCAUGCGUCCCAUUAGUUAGUUGGUAAGGUAACGGCUUACCAAGACGAUGAUGGGUAGGGGUCCUGAGAGGGAGAUCCCCCACACUGGUACUGAGACACGGACCAGACUCCUACGGGAGGCAGCAGUGAGGAAUAUUGGUCAAUGGUCGCAAGACUGAACCAGCCAUGCCGCGUGCAGGAAGACGGUCCUAUGGAUUGUAAACUGCUUUUAUACAGGAAGAAACCCUCCCACGUGUGGGAGCUUGACGGUACUGUAGGAAUAAGAAUCGGCUAACUCCGUG